Molecule: ribosomal RNA, 408 nt
Filed under: uncultured bacterium
Lineage: Bacteria
Description: bacterial SSU rRNA
Rfam family: Bacterial small subunit ribosomal RNA
Source: RNAcentral
GUGGGGAAUAUUGCACAAUGGAGGAAACUCUGAUGCAGCAACGCCGCGUGAACGAAGAAGGCUUUCGAGUCGUAAAGUUCUGUCCAAAGGGAAGAAAACAAUGACGGUACCUUUGGAGGAAGCCCCGGCUAAAUACGUGCCAGCAGCCGCGGUAAUACGUAUGGGGCAAGCGUUAUCCGGAAUUAUUGGGCGUAAAGAGUGCGUAGGUGGUAAUUUAAGCGCAGGGUUUAAGGCAAUGGCUCAACUAUUGUUCGCCUUGCGAACUGGGUUACUUGAGUGCAGGAGAGGAAAGCGGAAUUCCUAGUGUAGCGGUGAAAUGCGUAGAUAUUAGGAGGAACACCGGUGGCGAAGGCGGCUUUCUGGACUGAAACUGACACUGAGGCACGAAAGCGUGGGUAGCAAACAGGA